CACUUGGGCAGGAAUUGAUCCCGCAACGUCCAGCUCACUAAAACAACACUCUAACCACCACGUCAAAUAUUAAGUUGUGAUACGAAGAGGUCACUCAAUAAUUAUAUCAUAUUUCUUUCUGAGUUAUUACCUUAGCGCAAUUGUCCCACAUCGAACCCACAGAACAAAUUUGGUAAGGAUAAAUAGUUUUCUGCUACCAAAGCUAGUCGCGCGCGAAACACAUGUAGCAGUGUGGGUUUGUGAUGGAGCACGUGUUUUUGACAAUAGGUGCCUAUUGUAACUCGAAAAUUUAUAAAAAUACCCCUUGUGACUCAUGACAUCAUGCGCGUGCACAGAACCGGGCGAGUCAUGGCGUCAACCGGGCGAGUCAUGAUGUCAUCCAGUGAUUUACUGUACAGAAUCGCCGGUUCUUCUCUAGAAUCAGGCGAUUUUCGGGUUUACAAAAGAAUCGACACUGGAUGACCGAUUCCCUGUUCGAAUCGACCGAUUCCAUGCCGGCUCGACGAUUUUUAAACCACUGGUUUCACCAAUCUACUUAAGUCUAUUUAUCCUCAUCUAUCGCCGAUUGGAGCCACCUGUAAGUUCCCUGAAAUAUUCCAAAUUCUACUUAUCUUACCACUCAUCCAUCUCAACAUCCUCAUUUCAGCUACACUCAUUUUAUGGAUAUGUGUUUCUUGACCACCUAACAUUCAGUUCCAUAAAGCAUGAUCGGGCUUACAAUCAUGCUAUAGAAUUUUUCAUUCAGUUUCAUUGGUAUGUGAUGGAUUCCGGAAGCACAUCUCCAUUUUGUCCACCCAACUCUAAUUCUAUGCUUGACAUUUUCCUCAAUCUCUCCAUUCUCAUGGAUCAUUGACUCAAGAUGUUAAAAAUAAUAUCUUUUAGGUAGUUCUUAGCCAACAAUCUCAAUUAAUUGCUUGUGUCUACUCUUAUUCUUACUAAACUUGCAUUCUAUAUAUUCUUAGUCUGACUAAUUUUGAAACCUUUAGAUUUUAGAGCAUCCCUCCAAAGUUUUUAUUGCGUUAACCAUAAGUAAAAUUGCAUUGCUUAAAUCAAAUAGAAAACUAAAUAUACGAAUUAAUUGCUCAUGCAUCGGACUCUCCUGGAUGGAGAGAAUUCCUUGUACAAUAAGCCAAACCCGCUAUGUUGUAAAUAGUUCCCCAUAUAGUAAAUCAAAAUUAUUUUCUUUAAUUACCCCCAAAUAAUAUAUGAUACCCAUCUUAAUCCCUCUUAAAUUAUUUUCCCCAAUUAACCCAUAACUAUAAAUAAAAUUCAUUCCUUAAAUUAAAAAUACAAAUUAGUUGCUCCUACAUCUGGUUGGAGAAAAUUUGUCCUUGCGUUUAAAGUGAGAUAAGAUGAUUGUGCGUUAAUCCCACUGUCUUCUUCAACCACGUAGUAUUUUUAAAUAUGGGGCUUUGCUAUCAGCUGAUGAGCACAAACUCAUUUAAGAACACCUUGAGGAAAUGGUCACUAUAUGUUGAUGAAGUUAUUGUGAUAUGCUGGCUUUUGAUGAAGUCAUUGUGAUAUGUUGGCUUAGUUCUGUCAAAUAAACUUACUGGAUUUUUCUUAGUUGAGAUACAUAGCCUUGUUGUUUCUGCCCUAUGUAAACACCCUACUUUGGCUAAGGGAAUACCUAGGUGCUCGAACCCUUAUAUCUUAGGAUCCAAACCUAAUUGCCUCCUUAAACUAACCCUAGAACCUAAACCUACCUUUCGCCCACCAAAAUACCCUAAUCCCUUUAGGGACCAUACCAGGGUAGAUAAUCCAUUUCGCCCACCAAAAUGCCCUAACCCCUUUAGAGACCAUACUAGGGUAGAUAAUCCAUAGUCGAGGUAAUCCCAUCCUCCAUACACCAUAACCACAAACAUAAAAUACCAUGCUAGACCUUGCUAUAAAAACCCUAUUUAAUUAACCUUAAAUUCACUGAGUUAGCCUAAGUCUUCCUAAUUUUCCUUAACCCUUAAGAAAGCCUUCCAAAUCAGGAUACACCAUCCUUAGAACCUGCUAAUUAGGCUAAAUCACUUAGGAAACCUUCUUGGAUUGCCUAAAUUCGAACAACACCAUUAAACCCCUAAUCAUCUCUCAAUCACCUGUACAAAAUCCUAAAUUUGCCUUUAGAAUAAUUAAAAACAUUGAAAGUUUAGUUAAAAAUCAUUGAAAAUGGGAACUAAAUGCCAAAAACUCCCAAACGGACCAAAAUUGGCCUCUAACGGCCAUGUGGGUAAGCAGCAAGACAUCAUCCCCAUUUGGGUCCAAUGGGAGCCUGUUUCACAAAUCGCAUUGCGCAUUUGAUGGAUUGCUUCUCGUACAAUGCAAAUCCCAUCACAGUAUGCUGCAUGACCUCGAUUGGGUCGCCACUUGAUGUGUGGUAGUUACCUAUACAUACCACUAGAUAUUGUUAGAUUUGCAUUGGUGAAACAGGGCAGGAAGAUUGUAGUUUGACAAACACUAUAGAAAAUUUUAAAGAACUUGACAUCUUUUUAUUUCUAGACAUGAGUUAGUGUUUUUUCCAGACAAUAUUUAUUUUUUACUGAUGAAAAUUUGUGUACGUCUAAGUUCUCUAAACAAAUUUGUCCUUGAAAUACAUAGAAACAAAAGAUCGAACACUAAUCUCACUUGUACAAAUGCGUAAAUACAUCAAGAUCUAAAGCACCAUAGUAGCUUCAAAAAAGAGAUUUUGCUAGCUAGAAAGCUUGUGCCAACAAUUGUGAUGGUAACAUGUCACCAUGACGUUGGUUAUUCUAAUUGAACAUUGACGUGUUGUGGCUUUUCGUUCCUCGACUUACACGCCAUAUAACUACUUGUCAGUUACACCUUUUCAUGUAAUUGGAUAUCACUCGGUCACAAUUGGUCCACACCAAAAGGAUUACGUUUCAUGCGCUGUUGCCGAAGAAACAUGCGUCUCGUAAAGUUGACUUUGACUUGCAAGCGAAAAGUUGACUUUGACUUGCAAGCAUGCUAUAAGCGAUUCAAACUUGCAACAUCGCUAUGAACAACUCCGACUGGUGACAUAGAAAUGCUUCAGUGUAAAAUGCACCCCAAGCGCUGGCACAUACACGAGCACAUUGCAUGCUUAACAUACUCUGAAUGAGACAUAUCUCCCCGAGGUUCUUAGAACACAAUGGCAGAGGGUAUUUCCAUAUUUAAACAUGGCGUACACUCUUCCAUGCUUCAAUGUGGGACUAAAAUCCAUUAUUUCGCUCUCUACAGUAAUACAUAGUUUCGCUUUCCAAGGAUAAUUAUUUUGAAGGAUAUUGUUUUGAACAACUCCUAGUAUUUUCCUAAUGCAACAAUACAACAUAUUUAUUCAACCCAAACGUAUUUUUAUAGCCUGGACCUUGCCUGUUUGAACCCUAGAGAUCUCUUUGGCCAUUUUACCUUUUAUCCUUGGAACCUUGGAAAUCCUAGGAAUUCAAAUCUUAACCUUAGGCUCGAGGACCGCGAAACAUUCGCAAAGAUCUAGCAUGACUGGCCCAAACUCUUCAAAACUUCAAACACCCUAAUACUAGCGAACAUCUUAGACAACCCUAGGUAGCCUCAUACUUUGGUGUUCUCUCCUCUUCAAUCCCAAAUCAAUUAAAAUGCAAACGUUCUACAAGCAAUUCUAUUUAAGCAUCUUCAAGGACAAUGGAGAAGGUCAUUCGGCACCGCCUUUCUCUGAUACAGGCCCCCAACUCUGAUUGCUGGCCUUUGGUUCUGGCUCAAGCAAUGGAUUGGAAUGGGGACUGCUGAGCUUGUUGAGUAUUUCAAAUCAUACAAGCCCUCAAAGGCUAAGCAUACAUAUGGUCCUCAAGGCCAAUGUGCAUUAAGUGUUCUUGUACUUGAAGGUUCAGCCAUUGGUUAUUUGGAUGCCCAGCUUAGGCACAAGAUACGGAUGGAUGGGACGGACGCCGCUUUUUCUUUCAUCCUGGUGGAAAGUGUUCGUUGUAUGUUUAUUUGGCCACAAGAGAAGAUGUGGAUAUCUUUAACUGCCAGUCCCGUGUCCUCGAAUAUAUAUGAAGGCUACAGCUACACAUAUUCACAUGAAUGUGCAAUCCAAUAAACUUCACUCCAAAAGGCUACAGCAUAUUUUCUUCUAAAAUGAAGAAAGGGGAAGUAGAAACCAAGACUCGGAAGUGUAUAGUUGGGUGACAUUUGUUCCUGAUUUGGUUUAUGACGAACGCACACACACACACAUGGAGAGGGGUAGGUGUCCUAAGGCCUUCCUUGGAUUUAUGAAGGUUUAUAGAGAAGAGAGAGAGAUUGAGAAGCGUCCUGAAGUCUUGGAGUAAUGGAGGUUUGGAGAGAAGCUAUUAAUGGAAGUUCAGAGAGAAGCUCACAUACAACACAUGAAUAGAGUAGAGAUGGAGAAUUUAUGAGCCUCGGCAAAAUAGAUAUUCUUCCAGAGGCUUAAUGAGUUUUAUGAAGAGAAGCAAAGAGAGGUAACAUGUGCCACACCAUAUGAAAUCUGUGUGUGUGUUUAAAUUUGAAAAUUGAUAAAUGAGUCUCAUUUGUUUCUUGUGUA
Amborella trichopoda is the source of this 4501-nucleotide RNA transcript. It is a transcript of the gene named protein SUPPRESSOR OF GENE SILENCING 3 homolog, with no coding region annotated. The record is from RefSeq and is a predicted model, not a curated record. Lineage: Eukaryota; Viridiplantae; Streptophyta; Magnoliopsida; Amborellales; Amborellaceae.